Molecule: ribosomal RNA, 2622 nt
Filed under: human gut metagenome
Description: bacterial LSU rRNA
Rfam family: Bacterial large subunit ribosomal RNA
Source: RNAcentral
UUAAGCGACUAAGCGUACACGGUGGAUGCCCUGGCAGUCAGAGGCGAUGAAGGACGUGCUAAUCUGCGAUAAGCGUCGGUGAGGUGAUAUGAACCGUUAUAACCGGCGAUUUCCGAAUGGGGAAACCCAGUGUGUUUCGACACACUAUCAUUAACUGAAUCCAUAGGUUAAUGAGGCGAACCGGGGGAACUGAAACAUCUAAGUACCCCGAGGAAAAGAAAUCAACCGAGAUUCCCCCAGUAGCGGCGAGCGAACGGGGAGGAGCCCAGAGCCUGAAUCAGUGUGUGUGUUAGUGGAAGCGUCUGGAAAGGCGUGCGAUACAGGGUGACAGCCCCGUACACAAAAAUGCACAUAUUGUGAGCUCGAUGAGUAGGGCGGGACACGUGGUAUCCUGUCUGAAUAUGGGGGGACCAUCCUCCAAGGCUAAAUACUCCUGACUGACCGAUAGUGAACCAGUACCGUGAGGGAAAGGCGAAAAGAACCCCGGCGAGGGGAGUGAAAAAGAACCUGAAACCGUGUACGUACAAGCAGUGGGAGCCUCUUAAUGGGGUGACUGCGUACCUUUUGUAUAAUGGGUCAGCGACUUAUAUUCUGUAGCAAGGUUAACCGAAUAGGGGAGCCGAAGGGAAACCGAGUCUUAACUGGGCGUUAAGUUGCAGGGUAUAGACCCGAAACCCGGUGAUCUAGCCAUGGGCAGGUUGAAGGUUGGGUAACACUAACUGGAGGACCGAACCGACUAAUGUUGAAAAAUUAGCGGAUGACUUGUGGCUGGGGGUGAAAGGCCAAUCAAACCGGGAGAUAGCUGGUUCUCCCCGAAAGCUAUUUAGGUAGCGCCUCGUGAAUUCAUCUCCGGGGGUAGAGCACUGUUUCGGCUAGGGGGUCAUCCCGACUUACCAACCCGAUGCAAACUGCGAAUACCGGAGAAUGUUAUCACGGGAGACACACGGCGGGUGCUAACGUCCGUCGUGAAGAGGGAAACAACCCAGACCGCCAGCUAAGGUCCCAAAGUCAUGGUUAAGUGGGAAACGAUGUGGGAAGGCCCAGACAGCCAGGAUGUUGGCUUAGAAGCAGCCAUCAUUUAAAGAAAGCGUAAUAGCUCACUGGUCGAGUCGGCCUGCGCGGAAGAUGUAACGGGGCUAAACCAUGCACCGAAGCUGCGGCAGCGACACUAUGUGUUGUUGGGUAGGGGAGCGUUCUGUAAGCCUGUGAAGGUGGCCUGUGAGGGUUGCUGGAGGUAUCAGAAGUGCGAAUGCUGACAUAAGUAACGAUAAAGCGGGUGAAAAGCCCGCUCGCCGGAAGACCAAGGGUUCCUGUCCAACGUUAAUCGGGGCAGGGUGAGUCGACCCCUAAGGCGAGGCCGAAAGGCGUAGUCGAUGGGAAACAGGUUAAUAUUCCUGUACUUGGUGUUACUGCGAAGGGGGGACGGAGAAGGCUAUGUUGGCCGGGCGACGGUUGUCCCGGUUUAAGCGUGUAGGCUGGUUUUCCAGGCAAAUCCGGAAAACCAAGGCUGAGGCGUGAUGACGAGGCACUACGGUGCUGAAGCGACAAAUGCCCUGCUUCCAGGAAAAGCCUCUAAGCAUCAGGUAACAUCAAAUCGUACCCCAAACCGACACAGGUGGUCAGGUAGAGAAUACCAAGGCGCUUGAGAGAACUCGGGUGAAGGAACUAGGCAAAAUGGUGCCGUAACUUCGGGAGAAGGCACGCUGAUAUGUAGGUGAAGCGACUUGCUCGUGGAGCUGAAAUCAGUCGAAGAUACCAGCUGGCUGCAACUGUUUAUUAAAAACACAGCACUGUGCAAACACGAAAGUGGACGUAUACGGUGUGACGCCUGCCCGGUGCCGGAAGGUUAAUUGAUGGGGUUAGCGGUAACGCGAAGCUCUUGAUCGAAGCCCCGGUAAACGGCGGCCGUAACUAUAACGGUCCUAAGGUAGCGAAAUUCCUUGUCGGGUAAGUUCCGACCUGCACGAAUGGCGUAAUGAUGGCCAGGCUGUCUCCACCCGAGACUCAGUGAAAUUGAACUCGCUGUGAAGAUGCAGUGUACCCGCGGCAAGACGGAAAGACCCCGUGAACCUUUACUAUAGCUUGACACUGAACAUUGAGCCUUGAUGUGUAGGAUAGGUGGGAGGCUUUGAAGUGUGGACGCCAGUCUGCAUGGAGCCGACCUUGAAAUACCACCCUUUAAUGUUUGAUGUUCUAACGUUGGCCCGUAAUCCGGGUUGCGGACAGUGUCUGGUGGGUAGUUUGACUGGGGCGGUCUCCUCCUAAAGAGUAACGGAGGAGCACGAAGGUUGGCUAAUCCUGGUCGGACAUCAGGAGGUUAGUGCAAUGGCAUAAGCCAGCUUGACUGCGAGCGUGACGGCGCGAGCAGGUGCGAAAGCAGGUCAUAGUGAUCCGGUGGUUCUGAAUGGAAGGGCCAUCGCUCAACGGAUAAAAGGUACUCCGGGGAUAACAGGCUGAUACCGCCCAAGAGUUCAUAUCGACGGCGGUGUUUGGCACCUCGAUGUCGGCUCAUCACAUCCUGGGGCUGAAGUAGGUCCCAAGGGUAUGGCUGUUCGCCAUUUAAAGUGGUACGCGAGCUGGGUUUAGAACGUCGUGAGACAGUUCGGUCCCUAUCUGCCGUGG